AGAGAGAGACAUGCGCGCAUAUCAAUAAGCGGAGGAAAAGAAACUAACAAGGAUUCCCCUAGUAACGGCGAGUGAAGCGGGAAGAGCUCAAAUUUGAAAUCUUAAAGGGUUUCCCUCUACGAAUUGUAGUUUAAAGAAGUGUUUUCUGUUGAGGUUUUGGUAAAAGUUCUUUGGAAUAGGACAUCAUAGAGGGUGAGAAUCCCGUAUUUGACCUUUACUUUCAACUUUGUGAUACACUUUCAAAGAGUCGGAUUGUUUGGGAAUGCAGUCCAAAAUGGGUGGUAAAUUUCAUCUAAAGCUAAAUAUUGGCGAGAGACCGAUAGCGAACAAGUACCGUGAGGGAAAGAUGAAAAGAACUUUGAAAAGAGAGUUAAACAGUACGUGAAAUUGUCAAAAGGGAAGCGUUUGACACCAGUGUUGUUUUUCUGAAAAUCAAUUAAAGAACUGUUUAUGCUAAGCUGUUUAGACUUUAUCAGCUAUCUGUUUAGUUUUGAGCUUUUCUUUAAUGCACUUUUCAGUUAACAAGUCAACAUCAAUUUCUUUUGCUGUAAAAAAGCUUGAGGAAGGUGGCUUGAGAUUCGUCUUAAGUGUUUAUAGCCUCUUGCCUAUGCAGUCGGAGAGAUUGAGGUCUGCAGCGUAGAUCCUUCGGGGCUAAAUGCAUUUGUGCUAAGUUAUAGCAUUUUAUAGACAACUUGUUGACUAUGAUUUGUCUUGGAGCUUACUCGCUUAUGUUAUUUUACCUACGCUUAGGAUGUUGAACGCAUGUCUCUCUCU
This 774-nucleotide ribosomal RNA is filed under the name uncultured Neocallimastigales. RNAcentral's name for it is "partial large subunit ribosomal RNA". It matches the Rfam family "Eukaryotic large subunit ribosomal RNA", at positions 23 to 616 of the family's 3401-position model. The record is from RNAcentral. Lineage: Eukaryota; Fungi; Neocallimastigomycota; Neocallimastigomycetes; Neocallimastigales.